GAUGAACGCUGGCGGCGUGCCUAAUACAUGCAAGUCGAGCGAACAGAUGAGGAGCUUGCUCCUCUGACGUUAGCGGCGGACGGGUGAGUAACACGUGGAUAACCUACCUAUAAGACUGGGAUAACUUCGGGAAACCGGAGCUAAUAUCGGAUAAUAUAUUGAACCGCAUGGUUCAAUAGUGAAAGACGGUUUUGCUGUCACUUAUAGAUGGAUCCGCGCCGCAUUAGCUAGUUGGUAAGGUAACGGCUUACCAAGGCAACGAUGCGUAGCCGACCUGAGAGGGUGAUCGGCCACACUGGAACUGAGACACGGUCCAGACUCCUACGGGAGGCAGCAGUAGGGAAUCUUCCGCGAUGGGCGAAAGCCUGACGGAGCAACGCCGCGUGAGUGAUGAAGGUCUUCGGAUCGUAAAACUCUGUUAUUAGGGAAGAACAAAUGUGUAAGUAACUAUGCACGUCUUGACGGUACCUAAUCAGAAAGCCACGGCUAACUACGUG
Molecule: ribosomal RNA, 497 nt
Filed under: uncultured bacterium
Lineage: Bacteria
Description: partial 16S ribosomal RNA
Rfam family: Bacterial small subunit ribosomal RNA
Source: RNAcentral